GAUGAACGCUGGCGGCGUGCCUAAUACAUGCAAGUCGAGCGGAAAGACGAGGAGCUUGCUCCUCUCACGUUAGCGGUGGACGGGUGAGUAACACGUGGAAAACCUACCUAUCAGACUGGGAUAACUUCGGGACACCGGCGCUAAUACCGGAUAAUAUAUUGAACCGCAUGGUUCAAUAGUGAAAGACGGUUUUGCUGUCACUUAUAGCUGGAUCCGCGCCGCAUUAGCUAGUUGGUAAGGUAACCGCUUACCACGGCAACGAUGCGUAGCCGACCUGAGAGGGUGGUAGGCCACACUGGAACUGAGACACGGUCCAGACGCCUACGGGAGGCAGCAGUAGCGAAUGUGACGCAAUAGGCGAAAGCCUGACGGAGUAACGGCGCGUCAGUGAUGAAGGUCCUCGGAUCGUAAAACUCGGUUAUUAGGGAAGAACAAAUGUGUAAGUAACUAUGCACGGCUUGACGGUACCGAAUCAGAAAGCCACGGCUAACUACGUG
RNAcentral lists this ribosomal RNA (497 nucleotides) under uncultured bacterium. RNAcentral describes it as "partial 16S ribosomal RNA". It matches the Rfam family "Bacterial small subunit ribosomal RNA", at positions 28 to 507 of the family's 1533-position model. The record is from RNAcentral.